GGAGGAUUAGUCCUAACGGUAAGGCGGCGGUCUUGAAAACCGCUGGGCUCUGCCCUUGGGGGUUCGAAUCCCUCAUCCUCCGCCA
RNAcentral lists this transfer RNA (85 nucleotides) under Candidatus Cloacimonadota bacterium. Its description in RNAcentral is "tRNA-Ser". It matches the Rfam family "tRNA". From Rfam's summary of the family: Transfer RNA (tRNA) molecules are approximately 80 nucleotides in length. Their secondary structure includes four short double-helical elements and three loops (D, anti-codon, and T loops). Lineage: Bacteria; Pseudomonadati; Candidatus Cloacimonadota. The record is from RNAcentral.